AGGUUCUAUGGAAAGGAAAGGUUUAUGAUAUUUUUAGUUAGUUUAAUUACUUCUUUUUCAUUACUAAAUAUUACUACUAUGAAAGUUUACUUUUUUCUCUCGGGUGACCCAAGUAGAGGUACUUUUUUCAAUAGGCUUUUUGAACAGAUCACGCGUGAAUCGUCGUAGAGCAUAGUGUGGAAAAUAAAACAGCCGUAGCUGAGAGUGUACACGAAUACGGUGAAGAUUCGAGAUUUACAAGAACAGAACCUGAUCGACCUUCCCAAGUAACAACGCUUAUCUCUUUCUAUGGGCUCUUGAAAAAGUCCAAGAAGACCCGACGUUUUCGAGCCAAAUUCUGUUCGACGAUGAGGCCCAUAUCUGCAACCUGAACUGAUUCAAGAGCUGACAUUUCAUCCAGAAAAAAAACGAUUUGGUGUGAUUUGUGGGCCGAUUGAAUCAUAUUUCUUCAAAAAUGGUGUGAAUCAGAAUGUAACCGUCAAUGGCGACUGUUAUCGGGCCAUAAUAACCAACUAUUUGUUGCCUGGAAGUGAAGCUUGUUUGAAAUACGUGUCGUUUUGUGAGCUGCUAAAAAUGGUGCAGAAAGCCUUUAGUGAUGAGGCUAUGUCUAAAAAAAUGUUUACAAGUGGUAUAGUGAGUUCCAAGCCGACCGUGAACGUGUCGAAGACGAAGUGUGUCCAGGGCGACCAUCAACCUCAACCGACGAAGCUCACGUUCAACAAAUCAAAGAUUUAGUGUUGAAAACCCGUCGAUUAACAAUUAGAGACCUUACUGAUGAAGUUGGCAUAUCGAGAGGCUCAGCCAAUACCAUUUUGAAGGAUGUUUUGGGCCUCAAGCGCGUCAAAUCUCGACAACCACCGUAUUCACUUGAUCUGGCGCCGUGCGACUUCUGGCUGUUCACCAAGCUCAAAAGACCGCUCCGGGGACACCGUUUUUAUACGAUAGAGGAGAUUCAAGCCGCAGCGAAGACGGAACUGAAGGCCAUCCCGGAAAUUGACUACAGCCAGUGUUUGGAGCAGAAAGAUUGGAAAAUCCGUUGGCAUAAGUGCAUUGCAUCGGGAGGGGAUUACUUUGGAUGAAAUUGAUUUGGAAGAAUAAAUAAAGAAUUUUCAAAAUAAAUACAAUGUCACCUUAUAUUUUAGGCACAGUAAAUAUGUAUGCGAAUAAUCCCACUUCGAUUCAGACCUUGGCGCAAAACAUCACACGUGUCAUUCGCCAGUUACCAGUCGAAAUGAUCGAACGAGUCAUCGAAAAUUGAACUCAACCGAAGGAACAUCUGAGACAUAGCCGCUUCAAACAUUUGAAAGAGAUAAUCUUUAAAAAAUAAAUGCCAAAGGAUGUUCUUUCGUUUGGUAAUAAAAAUUGCACAUUAAAUUUGAAUUUUCUGUAUUUUUUUUUAAGCAGGAUCCUCGAAAUGGAUCACCCUACACAUUCUCUCUUUUCAGCCUUUGAAAUAUAUCACGCUUGAAUACGCUUGCCGGUCUCUUAUACACUUACUGUCUGUGUCUCUCUCUGUACUCAUUACUCGUGAACUAACACAACGAAUUUAAAGAAUUUUUCGAAAAACUGAUUUUGAAAACAUCUCGCAGUUAGCAUACUUUCAUUACACUUGUUUCUGAGUAUAUCUGGCUUUUUUAUAAAAUAUUCCAUAUAUUACCUGCAAAAUUGUGUCGUUAAUUUCAAACAAUUCGUGCAACGUCUCUCGCCAGUCAAAGCCAACAACAAUAUCGGCUGUUCUAGCAGAAAAGUCUCACCGGCUUUGAUAUCUACAGCUGCUGUGACAUAUCUGCACGCAAAAUAUGAAUUAUUUAAGCAGUGUAAUAUAACAUUGCUGCUAAUUUCUUAAAACAAAAAUAGAAAACAGGCACAACGAAAAUGAUUGCACUAAAAAAUCCAUAUGUUCAAAUACCUGCCCAAUUCGGCGUUGCUCUCGAUAUUACACUUCUUCGCAAACACAUCCAUUGUAGUUUUGUGAUGAUGAUUAAAGCAAUUUUUUUUGUAUCUUUAGUAAUGACUUCUUAAAUAUUUUACUUUUUUGCGUUACACAACGCUUCAAGUUACUUUAGGACUUUUUUUUAGAGACUAAGACCCGUUUUUUUUUAUUGAGCGCAAACCGUUUAGUUUUAAAUAAUAUUAAAGUUGAUUUCAAACACUUUGAAUAUAUAUAUUUUUACGAAAAUAUUUAAUUUUUCAGUUAAUCACUACUUGCA
Molecule: long non-coding RNA, 2210 nt
Organism: Zeugodacus cucurbitae (melon fly)
Lineage: Eukaryota; Metazoa; Arthropoda; Insecta; Diptera; Tephritidae
Exons: 2
Source: RefSeq, a predicted model, not a curated record